This 271-nucleotide ribosomal RNA is filed under the name uncultured bacterium. Its description in RNAcentral is "partial small subunit ribosomal RNA". It matches the Rfam family "Bacterial small subunit ribosomal RNA", at positions 26 to 285 of the family's 1533-position model. The record is from RNAcentral.
AGAAUCAACGCUGGCGGCGUGCCUAACACAUGCAAGUCGAACGCGAAAGUCCCGCAAGGGAUAAGUAGAGUGGCAAACGGGUGAGUAACACGUGGGUGACCUGCCUUCGAGUGGGGGAUAACGUCCCGAAAGGGACGCUAAUACCGCAUGACAUCCUGCUUUUUAAGAGGUGGAGAUCAAAGCUGGGGAUCGCAAGACCUAGCGCUUGAAGAGGGGCCCGCGCCUGAUUAGCUAGUUGGUGGGUAAUGGCUCACCAAGGCAACGAUCAGUA